Molecule: long non-coding RNA, 207 nt
Filed under: Elaeis guineensis (African oil palm)
Lineage: Eukaryota; Viridiplantae; Streptophyta; Magnoliopsida; Arecales; Arecaceae
Description: long non-coding RNA (EGUI_LNC060558)
Source: RNAcentral
ACCCAAAAAACAACCUUAUUUCUCUAAUCUGCGUCGAAUUGAUUCUCCUCCGUCGUCAGCCAUUCUCCCUCUCUUCCCUUCACCUGUCCUUUCCUUGCCACUCAUCAUCCAUAUCUUUGUUAUCGCCGAUCCCGGCCCUUCGUCGGAGAUCUUAUCGCCGCUACCUUUCCGUGGCUGGAGCUCUCUUUGCCGCACCUUUCCUGCGCC